Molecule: ribosomal RNA, 493 nt
Filed under: uncultured bacterium
Lineage: Bacteria
Description: partial 16S ribosomal RNA
Rfam family: Bacterial small subunit ribosomal RNA
Source: RNAcentral
GACGAACGCUGGCGGCGUGCUUAACACAUGCAAGUCGAACGGUGAAGCGCCUUCCUUUUUGGUGGGUGUGGUUGCGUGGCGAACGGUUGAGUAACACGUGAGUAACCUGCCCCCUUCUUCUGGUUAACCGCAUGAUAGUGAGGCUAAUACGGGAUAUUCUGGUUCUUUCGCAUGAUGGGUCUGGGGCAGAUGUUGUUUCGGUGGGGGUGGGCUCGCGGCCUAUCAGCUUUUUGGGGGGGUGGUGGCCUACCCAGGCGGUGACGGGUAGCCGGCCUGAGAGGGUGGCCGGUCACACUGGGAGUGAGACACGGCCCAGACUCCGGCGGGAGGCAGCAGUGGGGAAUAGUGCACAAUGGGAGCAAGCCUGAUGCAGCGACGCUGAGUGAGGGAUGGAGGCCUUCGGGUUGGGAACCUCUUUCGCGAGUGAAGCAGGUCUGCCUCGUGUGUGCGUGGGUUGACGGUAGCUGGAUAAGAAGCGCCGGCUAACUACGUG